This 251-nucleotide ribosomal RNA is filed under the name uncultured bacterium. RNAcentral's name for it is "partial 16S ribosomal RNA". It matches the Rfam family "Bacterial small subunit ribosomal RNA", at positions 525 to 775 of the family's 1533-position model. The record is from RNAcentral.
ACGGAGGGUGCAAGCGUUAAUCGGAAUCACUGGGCGUAAAGCGCACGUAGGCGGCUUGGUAAGUCAGGGGUGAAAUCCCACAGCCCAACUGUGGAACUGCCUUUGAUACUGCCAGGCUUGAGUACCGGAGAGGGUGGCGGAAUUCCAGGUGUAGGAGUGAAAUCCGUAGAUAUCUGGAGGAACACCGGUGGCGAAGGCGGCCACCUGGACGGUAACUGACGCUGAGGUGCGAAAGCGUGGGUAGCAAACAG